CCUGAGUCAGUUGAGGACAGAAGAAAGUCAGCUCUUCCUCAAAGCAUCACAGAGAGACUGGUUGCUGAAGAGACACGAUUGAAGCAAAAGCAUCCAGCCACGGUCACCGAACAUUGUGGUGAGGAGCGGUCCUCUGUCCUGACUUCAUUCAGACGUCAGGAAUGGAGGCGGAUGAAGAUGCCACAACCCUGGGUUUCAACAACUCGAAACUGGUCUACAAACUGAGAAAAGAGAAACUUCGUUCUGUGGUUAUCACAUCAGAGAGAGAAGAUAUCCAAAAAUUUAAGAGAUUAGCAUUGUUUUGCAUAAGGCAACACAUAUGCCAAGUUAUCUGUCCUCCAUCAGUGCGGUUCACAGGAGUCCUGGUGGACGGUUUCCUGGGAGGUUGGGUCUUACCAACAACGUUUGCAACUCAGUGCGAUUUGUGUUAAAAUGAGUCUUCAAAAAGACUGGCCAACUCCAUUUAAAUGGCUAACUCCAUUUGUAUCUUACAUAGUCUUUUGUGUCUGUCUUCACUAUUCUUCUAACGCG
This 531-nucleotide long non-coding RNA is filed under the name Felis catus (domestic cat). RNAcentral's name for it is "lncRNA (ENSFCAG00000044197.2)". Lineage: Eukaryota; Metazoa; Chordata; Mammalia; Carnivora; Felidae. The record is from RNAcentral.